AUUGAACGCUGGCGGCAGGCCUAACACAUGCAAGUCGAGCGGAUGAAGGGAGCUUGCUCCUGGAUUCAGCGGCGGACGGGUGAGUAAUGCCUAGGAAUCUGCCUGGUAGUGGGGGAUAACGUCCGGAAACGGGCGCUAAUACCGCAUACGUCCUGAGGGAGAAAGUGGGGGUUCUUCGGCCCUCACGCUAUCAGAUGAGCCUAGGUCGGAUUAGCUAGUUGGUGGGGUAAAGGCCUACCAAGGCGACGAUCCGUAACUGGUCUGAGAGGAUGAUCAGUCACACUGGAACUGAGACACGGUCCAGACUCCUACGGGAGGCAGCAGUGGGGAAUAUUGGACAAUGGGCGAAAGCCUGAUCCAGCCAUGCCGCGUGUGUGAAGAAGGUCUUCGGAUUGUAAAGCACUUUAAGUUGGGAGGAAGGGCAGUAAGUUAAUACCUUGCUGUUUUGACGUUACCAACAGAAUAAGCACCGGCUAACUUCGUG
This 484-nucleotide ribosomal RNA is filed under the name uncultured bacterium. RNAcentral describes it as "partial 16S ribosomal RNA". It matches the Rfam family "Bacterial small subunit ribosomal RNA", at positions 30 to 507 of the family's 1533-position model. The record is from RNAcentral.